GCCUGGGUAGCUCAGUGGUAGAGCAGCGCACUCGUGAUGCGCAGGCCGUGGGGUCAAUCCCCACACCAGGCU
RNAcentral lists this transfer RNA (72 nucleotides) under Actinomycetota bacterium. RNAcentral's name for it is "tRNA-Thr". It matches the Rfam family "tRNA". From Rfam's summary of the family: Transfer RNA (tRNA) molecules are approximately 80 nucleotides in length. Their secondary structure includes four short double-helical elements and three loops (D, anti-codon, and T loops). The record is from RNAcentral. Lineage: Bacteria; Bacillati; Actinomycetota.